AUUGCUUAGAGGCGGCUACCUGGAGCCGGAAGCGCGGCUGCAGCAGGGCGAGGCUCCAGGUGGGGUCGGUUCCGCAUCCAGCCUAGCGUGUCCACGAUGCGGCUGGGCUCCGGGACUUUCGCUACCUGUUGCGUAGCGAUCGAGGUGCUAGGGAUCGCGGUCUUCCUUCGGGGAUUCUUCCCGGCUCCCGUUCGUUCCUCUGCCAGAGCGGAACACGGAGCGGAGCCCCCAGCGCCCGAACCCUCGGCUGGAGUCAGUUCUAACUGGACCACGCUGCCACCACCUCUCUUCAGUAAAGUUGUUAUUGUUCUGAUAGAUGCCUUGAGAGAUGAUUUUGUGUUUGGGUCAAAGGGUGUGAAAUUUAUGCCCUACACAACUUACCUUGUGGAAAAAGGAGCAUCUCACAGUUUUGUGGCUGAAGCAAAGCCACCUACAGUUACUAUGCCUCGAAUCAAGCCCCAUUUGCAGAUGCUUGGCAGAUGUUCACUGGAUGAAAGCAGUCUGAGACUGAAGGAAGCACAGUGCCAUAUCACUCACUGACUUUUUCCUUGAAUUUCUUACUCUCUCUGCCGCAUUUCAAUGUGAUGUGACUUCCUUCAGCAAUAUUUAUUGAGCAUCUACUGUGUGCCACACUGUUCCAGACAGGAGGGAGGCAGUGAAGAACAAGACAGCAUUGUCCUCAUGGAGCUUACUUUCUAACUGGAGGGAUAGAAAAUCGGUAAAAUAUGAAUCAAUGAAGAUCGUUUCAGACAGUGACAACUGCUCUGGAAGGAAUGGAGAGGGAGGUGAGAGAGAAUGAAGGGGAGAGGGUCAGGCACCUUUGAACACAGCACUCAGAGUUUCUGCCGUCCUGCUGAAACUAGCUGUGGGAAUCUGGAAGAAAGACAUCCAGGCCCCUGAUCUUCAGGAACACCGAUUUCUUUAUCUGCUCUAUCAGAAGUGUGGAAGGAACCCUUUUCUCCUUUUCUUUUAAGAUUUAACAGGCAGAUUUGAGAAAAUGUAUAAGUGAUUGUGCAGGUUCUAGGUUCUAUUCAGACCAGUCCGUUGGCACUGUGGUUCUUGGGGCCUCUGUCUCCAGCUUAUUGGUUUUAUUUCACCUUUGCUGGGGAGCCUCACCCCAGAGCUAGUGUUUUGUUUCAUUUUCAGUCCUUUGAGGAUUCUUGCUCCUUAUUUCCCCAUCAGGGA
Molecule: small RNA, 1185 nt
Filed under: Pan troglodytes (chimpanzee)
Lineage: Eukaryota; Metazoa; Chordata; Mammalia; Primates; Hominidae
Description: processed transcript
Source: RNAcentral